GAAAUCACCACGACCUUGGCUAAGCCCCCCUCUGGAGAUGGAGUACUCACCUUCAGCCAGCAGCUCCGGACCUGGAGGUGCUCCCCAAAGCAGCCCUCAGGACAGUCUGCAGUGCCCUGGGGUCACCAAAGCAUCCCAGCCACUGUGCCUCACAGCCUCUGUGAAAAUGAGCCACGACAGCCCAACCACCUGGGUCUUCAGAGCUUCUUGCCUGCUUGGCGUUGCCCUCUGUGAUUGGCAGAAGAAUGCCCCCCAAAGAUAUUCAGGUCCUAAUCCCUGGAACCUGCAAACAUUCCCUUAUAUGGCAACAGAGACUUUGCAGAUGUGAUUAAGUUCAGGUUCUUGAGAUUAAGGGAGAUUAUCCCACAUUAUCUGAGAGGUCCCUAAAUGUAAUCACAAGUGUCCUUCUAAGAGGGAGGUGGAGGGAGAUUUGGUGAAAGAAGACGGACACUGAGCACUGAAGCCAGGAGCAUGGCUUGGAAGCCGGAGGAGGUGAGGAUGGGCUCUCCCCAGAGUCUCUGGAAGGUACAAGUCCCUGCCGCCGCCUUGGUGUCAGCCCAGGGAGGCUGAUUUUGGACUCCUGGAUUCAAGACUGUUAGAGAAUAAAGGUGUGUGAUUUUAAGCCACCGCAUUGGUGGUUAUUGUUACAGCGGCUGCGGGAAGAAGACACACCUGCCCAGGGCCCCUCCUUGCUCUCAGCUCACCUGGAUAGCUGAGCUCCUCCUCCAGGGCUCACGGCCUCUGCUGACCUCCUGGACCCAGCCAUCAUCUUCCCUGGCACACUGCUGACAUCUCACCAUCUGGUGGAGAACUUCUGGGCAUCUGUCUCUGAACUUGACAAUGACACUGCCCCCACCCCAAACGCCAAGCAAAGCUUCCAUCGCGGUGCCCUCGUGGGUGUCUUCAUCCCCCUGGACUCACAUCAGCCAGAGAAAUCCUGGUUAUUCCUGAAUCUGCAGUGACAGUUUUUACACAAGCAAGGGGCAGGUGCUGGUGCAGGACAUGAAGCCUGUGGCCAGACAGUGCACAACAGGAACCUUUUACUCCACCACUGCCACUGAGGUGUGAGUCCCCACCAUGCCCCACAGACUGUAGCUGCUUGGAUAUCUCCCAGGCCCUUCAUGCAGGGGAGGGUGUCCGCUGCUGCCUUCCAUACGGGUCUGUCUCCUGGACACAGUGUGGGUGUGGAAGGAUGCAGAGUGUUUCUGGAGGUGAAAAUGGAAGACAUCCGGCACCAAAAUUAUUUACUCAUUCACUCAACAAACAUUAAUUGGCAUCCAUGCAAGCCUA
RNAcentral lists this long non-coding RNA (1290 nucleotides) under Macaca mulatta (Rhesus monkey). Its description in RNAcentral is "lncRNA (ENSMMUG00000051766.1)". Lineage: Eukaryota; Metazoa; Chordata; Mammalia; Primates; Cercopithecidae. The record is from RNAcentral.